GGUGCGGAACACGUACAGAACCUUCCUUCGAGCGGGGAAUAGCCCAGAGAAAUUUGGAUUAAUACCCCAUAGCACAACGGAGUGGCAUCACUUUGUUGUUAAAGAUUUAUCACUUGAAGAUGGCUGUGCGGCUGAUUAGGUAGUUGGCGGGGUAACGGCCCACCAAGCCCGCGAUCAGUAACUGGUGUGAGAGCACGACCAGUCACACGGGCACUGAGACACGGGCCCGACUCCUACGGGAGGUAGCAGUAAGGAAUAUUGGUCAAUGGACGAAAGUCUGAACCAGCCAUGCCGCGUGGAGGAUGAAGGUCCUCUGGAUUGUAAACUUCUUUUAUAUGGGACGAAAAAAGGCCUUUCUAGGUCGUCUGACGGUACCAUAUGAAUAAGCACCGGCUAACUCCGUGCCAGCAGCCGCGGUAAUACGGAGGGUGCAAGCGUUAUCCGGAUUCACUGGGUUUAAAGGGUGCGUAGGUGGGUUGGUAAGUCAGUGGUGAAAUCCCCGAGCUUAACUUGGGAACUGCCAUUGAUACUAUCAGUCUUGAAUACCGUGGAGGUCAGCGGAAUAUGUCAUGUAGCGGUGAAAUGCUUAGAUAUGACAUAGAACACCAAUUGCGAAGGCAGCUGGCUACCCGAAUAUUGACACUGAGGCACGAAAGCGUGGGGAUCAAACAGGAUUAGAUACCCUGGUUAGUCCACGCCCUAAACUAUGGAUACUCGACAUUUGCGAUAAACUGUAAGUGUCUGAGCGAAAGCAUUAAGUAUCCCAUCUGGGAAGUACGACCGCAAGGGUUG
Molecule: ribosomal RNA, 792 nt
Filed under: uncultured bacterium
Lineage: Bacteria
Description: bacterial SSU rRNA
Rfam family: Bacterial small subunit ribosomal RNA
Source: RNAcentral